CGACCGGGACGGGCAGUCGCGUGCCGCUCUCCAAAGGGGGCGGUAUGAGGAAAGUCCGGGCUCCACAGGGCAAGAAUAACGGGUAACGCCCGCCGAAGGCGACUUCAGGAAAAGUGCAACAGAGAGAUACCGCCACGUUUUUAUUCCGCAACCCGAUUAUGUGGUUGCCUUGACGUGGUAAGGGUGGAAAGGCGAGGUAAGAGCUCACCCAUCACACGGGAACGUCGUGAUGCUGUAAACUCUAUUCGGAGCAACACCGUGGAGGAGGCAAAUGGUUGGCCCGACCGUCUCCGAGGAGGUGGCUGGAGCGUAUCGGUAACGGUGCGCCAAGAUAGAUGGCUGUCGAUUACAGAACCCGGCUUAUAGUCCCGAUCGCAAA
This 379-nucleotide RNase P RNA is filed under the name Oscillospiraceae bacterium. Its description in RNAcentral is "RNase P RNA component class A". It matches the Rfam family "Bacterial RNase P class A". Rfam says of the family: Ribonuclease P (RNase P) is a ubiquitous endoribonuclease, found in archaea, bacteria and eukarya as well as chloroplasts and mitochondria. Lineage: Bacteria; Bacillati; Bacillota; Clostridia; Eubacteriales; Oscillospiraceae. The record is from RNAcentral.